GAUGAACGCUGGCGGCGUGCCUAAUACAUGCAAGUCGAGCGAACGGACGAGAAGCUUGCUUCUCUGAUGUUAGCGGCGGACGGGUGAGUAACACGUGGAUAACCCCCUUAUAAGACUGGGAUAACUUCGGGAAACCGGAGCUAAUACCGGAUAAUAUUUUGAACCGCAUGGUUCAAAAGUGAAAGACGGUCUUGCUGUCACUUAUAGAUGGAUCUGCGCUGCAUUAGCUGGUUGGUAGGGUAACGGCUUAUUAAGGCAACGAUGCAUAGCCGACCUGAGAGGGUGAUCGGCCACACGGGAAGUGGGACGCGGACCAGGCGCCUACGGGAGGGACCAGUAGGGUAUCGUCGGCAGUAGGCGAGAGCCUGACGGAGCGAGGCGACGUCAGUGGUAGAAGUCUUCGGAGCGUAAAACUCUGUUAUUGGGGAAAAACAGAUGUGUAAGUAGCUGUACACAGCUUGACGGUAACGGGUCAAAAAGCCACGGCUAACUACGUG
Molecule: ribosomal RNA, 497 nt
Filed under: uncultured bacterium
Lineage: Bacteria
Description: partial 16S ribosomal RNA
Rfam family: Bacterial small subunit ribosomal RNA
Source: RNAcentral